This 492-nucleotide ribosomal RNA is filed under the name uncultured bacterium. Its description in RNAcentral is "partial 16S ribosomal RNA". It matches the Rfam family "Bacterial small subunit ribosomal RNA", at positions 29 to 507 of the family's 1533-position model. The record is from RNAcentral.
AGUGAACGCUGGCGGUAGGCCUAACACAUGCAAGUCGAACGGCAGCACAGUAAGAGCUUGCUCUUACGGGUGGCGAGUGGCGGACGGGUGAGGAAUACAUCGGAAUCUACUUUUUCGUGGGGGAUAACGUAGGGAAACUUACGCUAAUACCGCAUACGACCUACGGGUGAAAGCAGGGGAUCUUCGGACCUUGCGCGAUUGAAUGAGCCGAUGUCGGAUUAGCUAGUUGGCGGGGUAAAGGCCCACCAAGGCGACGAUCCGUAGCUGGUCUGAGAGGAUGAUCAGCCACACUGGAACUGAGACACGGUCCAGACUCCUACGGGAGGCAGCAGUGGGGAAUAUUGGACAAAGGGCGCAAGCCUGAUCCAGCCAUACCGCGUGGGUGAAGAAGGCCUUCGGGUCGUAAAGCCCUUUUGUUGGGAAAGAGAAGCAGCAGGUUAAUACCCCGCUGUUCUGACGGUACCCAAAGAAUAAGCACCGGCUAACUUCGUG